Molecule: ribosomal RNA, 499 nt
Filed under: Stomatopoda sp. 1 RWKT-2009
Lineage: Eukaryota; Metazoa; Arthropoda; Malacostraca; Stomatopoda
Description: partial 16S ribosomal RNA
Rfam family: Bacterial large subunit ribosomal RNA
Source: RNAcentral
GUCCAUAUGUUUGGUUUAUAUGGUCUGGCCUGCCCACUGAUGUUUAAAAUUUAAAGGGCCGCGGUAUUCUGACCGUGCGAAGGUAGCAUAAUAAUUAGUCUCCUAAUUAGAGGCUUGUAUGAAUGGUCGGACAAGAUGGAAACUGUCUCUAUACAAUAAAUAAAAUUUAAUAUUUGAGUAAAAAAGCUUAAAUAAAAUGGAGGGACGAUAAGACCCUAUAAAGCUUUAUGAUGUGUUUUUUUAAUAUAAAUUGUUUUGUUAUUAACAUAUUUUAAAUUAUAUAUUAUUUUACUGGGGCGGUAAAAGUAUAAUGAAUGAAUAACUGCUUUUAUUUUGUAUAACAAUUAUAGUUGAAAAUAAAUUGAUCCAUUAUUAAUGAUUACAAGAACAAGUUACUUUAGGGAUAACAGCAUAAUUUUUUUUGAGAGUUCUUAUCGAAAAAAAAGUUUGUGACCUCGAUGUUGAAUUAAGGAUACCUUAAGGUGCAGCAGUUUAAAGG